UAGUCCACGCCGUAAACGAUGGACACUAGUUGUUGGAUUAUUUCAGUGACUAAGCGAAAGUAAUAAGUGUCCCACCUGGGGAGUACGAUCGCAAGAUUGAAACUCAAAGGAAUUGACGGGGGGCCCGCACAAGCGGUGGAGCAUGUGGUUUAAUUCGAUGAUACGCGAGGAACCUUACCAGGGCUUAAAUGUGGUCUGACAGCUUUAGAGAUAGAGUUUUCUUCGGACAGAUCACAAGGUGCUGCAUGGUUGUCGUCAGCUCGUGCCGUGAGGUGUCAGGUUAAGUCCUAUAACGAGCGCAACCCCUAUCGUUAGUUGCUAACAAGUAAUGUUGAGGACUCUAGCGAGACUGCCGGUGCAAACCGCGAGAAAGGUGGGGAUGACGUCAAAUCAUCACGGCCCUUACGUCCUGGGCUACACACGUGCUACAAUGGGCGAGACGAUGAGCUGCAAGUCUGUGAAGGUUAGCUAAUCUAUAAACUCGUUCUAAGUUCGGAUUGGU
Molecule: ribosomal RNA, 502 nt
Filed under: uncultured bacterium
Lineage: Bacteria
Description: bacterial SSU rRNA
Rfam family: Bacterial small subunit ribosomal RNA
Source: RNAcentral